AAAUUGAAGAGUUUGAUCAUGGCUCAGAUUGAACGCUGGCGGCAGGCCUAACACAUGCAAGUCGAACGGUAACAGGAAGCAGCUUGCUGCUUUGCUGACGAGUGGCGGACGGGUGAGUAAUGUCUGGGAAACUGCCUGAUGGAGGGGGAUAACUACUGGAAACGGUGGCUAAUACCGCAUAACGUCGCAAGACCAAAGAGGGGGACCUUCGGGCCUCUUGCC
RNAcentral lists this ribosomal RNA (222 nucleotides) under Salmonella enterica subsp. enterica serovar Infantis. RNAcentral describes it as "partial 16S ribosomal RNA". It matches the Rfam family "Bacterial small subunit ribosomal RNA", at positions 1 to 219 of the family's 1533-position model. The record is from RNAcentral. Lineage: Bacteria; Pseudomonadati; Pseudomonadota; Gammaproteobacteria; Enterobacterales; Enterobacteriaceae. RNAcentral also lists the same sequence under 28 other names.